Molecule: signal recognition particle RNA, 287 nt
Filed under: Saimiri boliviensis boliviensis (Bolivian squirrel monkey)
Lineage: Eukaryota; Metazoa; Chordata; Mammalia; Primates; Cebidae
Description: Metazoan signal recognition particle RNA (ENSSBOG00000003500.1)
Rfam family: Metazoan signal recognition particle RNA
About the family: The signal recognition particle (SRP) is a universally conserved ribonucleoprotein. It is involved in the co-translational targeting of proteins to membranes. The eukaryotic SRP consists of a 300-nucleotide 7S RNA and six proteins: SRPs 72, 68, 54, 19, 14, and 9.
Source: RNAcentral
GCUGGGCGUGGUGGCGCCUGCCUGUAGUCCCAGCUACUUGGGAGGCUGAGGUGGGAGGAUCACUUCAGCCCAGGAGUUCUGGGCUGUAGUGCACUAUGCCGAUCGGGUGUCUGCACUAAGUUUGGCCUCAAUAUGGUGACCUCCUAGGAGUAGGGGAUCACCAGGUUGCCUAAGGAGAGGUGAACUGGCCUAGGUCGGAAAUGGAGCAGGUCAACACUCCCAUGCCGAUCACGCCUGUGACUAGCCACUACACUCCAGCCUGGGCAAUAUAGCGAGGCCACGUCUCU